UUCAUAGUUUUUUGUUUGUUUGUUUGUUUUUAAAGGAAGCUGACCAUAUGACCUUACUACUCUGGCCACAGUCAGUUGGCACGAGGCUGGAUGCCUGAUUGAAGGCAGGCCACAGCACGAGAAAUGGCAUGAGAUCUCUGUCAGCCUGGCUACUCGACUUGGAAAAGUGACUAACUGACCUUUCUAAUUCUCAGAUCCUUAUGGGGCUGGAAGUUUGCCAAGAUGGACUUUGUGCAGAUACCAGUGCUGUUUGUGGACAGAAGUUCCUUAUGCCAUUUGACUGGGAAGUACCACCUCCUUGUGGAUCAAUGUCUCAAUAUCCUCAUCUGUAAAAUGGGAAUUAUAAUGUAAUUAAUCUACACAUUAGUGAGGAUUAAAAGAAUGAAGAGAUAAUGGAUAUGUGCCUGGCACUUAGCACUAA
Molecule: long non-coding RNA, 421 nt
Organism: Felis catus (domestic cat)
Lineage: Eukaryota; Metazoa; Chordata; Mammalia; Carnivora; Felidae
Exons: 2
Source: RefSeq, a predicted model, not a curated record